AGUGAACGCUGGCGGCAGGCCUAACACAUGCAAGUCGAGCGGCAGCGCGUCCGACCACCCUCGGGUGGUCGGAUGGCGGCGAGCGGCGGACGGGUGAGGAAUGCAUCGGAAUCUGCCUCGUUGUGGGGGAUAACGUAGGGAAACUUACGCUAAUACCGCAUACGACCUACGGGUGAAAGUGGGGGACCUUCGGGCCUCACGCGAUGAGAUGAGCCGAUGCCGGAUUAGCUAGUUGGCGGGGUAAAGGCCCACCAAGGCGACGAUCCGUAGCUGGUCUGAGAGGAUGAUCAGCCACACUGGAACUGAGACACGGCCCAGACUCCUACGGGAGGCAGCAGUGGGGAAUAUUGGACAAUGGGGGCAACCCUGAUCCAGCCAUGCCGCGUGUGUGAAGAAGGCCUU
This 402-nucleotide ribosomal RNA is filed under the name uncultured bacterium. RNAcentral describes it as "bacterial SSU rRNA". It matches the Rfam family "Bacterial small subunit ribosomal RNA", at positions 30 to 418 of the family's 1533-position model. The record is from RNAcentral.